Molecule: ribosomal RNA, 434 nt
Filed under: uncultured bacterium
Lineage: Bacteria
Description: bacterial SSU rRNA
Rfam family: Bacterial small subunit ribosomal RNA
Source: RNAcentral
AACGAACGCUGGCGGCAUGCCUAACACAUGCAAGUCGAACGAACCCUUCGGGGUUAGUGGCGCACGGGUGCGUAACGCGUGGGGAUCUGCCCUUUGCUUCGGAAUAACAGUUAGAAAUGACUGCUAAUACCGGAUGAUGUCGCAAGACCAAAGAUUUAUCGGCAAAGGGAUGAACCCGCGUAGGAUUAGCUAGUUGGUGGGGUAAAGGCCUACCAAGGCGACGAUCCUUAGCUGGUCCGAGAGGAUGAUCAGCCACACUGGGACUGAGACACGGCCCAGACUCCUACGGGAGGCAGCAGUGGGGAAUAUUGGACAAUGGGCGAAAGCCUGAUCCAGCAAUGCCGCGUGAGUGAUGAAGGCCUUCGGGUUGUAAAGCUCUUUUACCAGGGAUGAUAAUGACAGUACCUGGAGAAUAAGCUCCGGCUAACUCCGUG